CGCAUCUGUGCAUGCAGCAUAUCAAUAAGCGGAGGAAAAGAAACUAACAAGGAUUCCCUCAGUAACGGCGAGUGAAGCGGGAAGAGCUCGAAUUUGAAAUCUUGAAAGGUCACCUUUCACGAAUUGUAGUUUAAAGAAGUGUUUUCUGUUACGAUCGUAAUAUAAGUUCUUUGGAAUAGGACAUCACAGAGGGUGAGAAUCCCGUCUAUGAUUGCGAUUUGUAGCUUUGUGAUACACUUUCAAAGAGUCGGGUUGUUUGGGAAUGCAGCCCAAAACGGGAGGUAAAUUUCUUCUAAGGCUAAAUAUUGGCGAGAGACCGAUAGCGAACAAGUACCGUGAGGGAAAGAUGAAAAGAACUUUGAAAAGAGAGUUAAAUAGUACGUGAAAUUGUCAAAAGGGAAGCGUUUAACACCAGUGUUGUUUUCUGAAAAUCAACCUCUGUUAGCUUUAUGCAUGUUUGUUUAGACCUAAUCAGCUAUCUUGCAUGUUCUAUUGUUUGCAGUGGUGCACUUUUCAGUUUACAGGUCAACAUCAGUUUUUUUUACCGUAAAAAAGUUAAAGAAAGGUAGCUCAUGGCUCCGGUCGUGAGCUGUUAUAGUCUUUUUCCUAUGCGGUAGGAGAGACUGAGGUCUGCAGUGUAGGCUAUUUGGCUAGAUACUCAGGUGCUAUGUGAUACCAUUUCAUAAACAACUUGUUGAUUAUGUUUUGUCUAUUGCAUACUCGCUUGUACUAUCAUACCUACGCUUAGGAUGUUGACGAUCAGCUGAGCGCG
This 772-nucleotide ribosomal RNA is filed under the name uncultured Neocallimastigales. RNAcentral's name for it is "partial large subunit ribosomal RNA". It matches the Rfam family "Eukaryotic large subunit ribosomal RNA", at positions 26 to 633 of the family's 3401-position model. Lineage: Eukaryota; Fungi; Neocallimastigomycota; Neocallimastigomycetes; Neocallimastigales. The record is from RNAcentral.